This 822-nucleotide ribosomal RNA is filed under the name Cryptosporidium felis. RNAcentral describes it as "partial small subunit ribosomal RNA". The stretch from base 305 to 822 matches the Rfam family "Eukaryotic small subunit ribosomal RNA", at positions 1 to 1079 of the family's 1831-position model. The record is from RNAcentral. Lineage: Eukaryota; Apicomplexa; Conoidasida; Eucoccidiorida; Cryptosporidiidae.
GGCCGCAGAGGCAGGGUAGGAUUAAGAAAGGGAUAGGGUGAGAGGGGGGCGGUUGCGGGUGGGCGGAGGAAGGAGGGGUGAGGAUAGCGGUAGAGGGGACGGUAGGGGAGGAGAGGGGAAGAGGCGGUGGAAGGUGAAGGGGGCUGGGGGGGAUGGGAAUUGAGGCGAAUCCCUGAAUGCAGGGGAGGGUGAGUGGCCAAAGGAGAUGACGAAUAGCAGGAGGUUGAGACGGGUGGGGGGAAAGUGGGAAAUGAAGGUGAAGGUAUAAAACGCCGCGGGACAAAGUAUGGAAUUGGGAGGGGCGAGUCUGGUGGCCAGCAGGCCCGGGGUAAUUGCAGCUGCAAUAGGGUAUAUUAAAAGUUGUGGCAGGUAAAAAGCUCGUAGUUGGAUUUCUGUUAAUACCUUAUAUAUAAUAUUUUUUUUUUAAAUAUUAAUAUGUAAGAUUAACAUAAUUCAUAUUUUUAAGACUGAAUUUUUAGUUUUGAUAAUAUGAAAUUUUACUGUGAGAAAAUUAGAGUGCUUAAAGCAGGCUUUUGCCUUGAAUACUCCAGCAUGGAAUAAUAAUAAAAGAUUUUUAUCUUUUUUUUUAUUGGUUCUAAGAUAAAAAUAAUGAUUAAUAGGGACAGUUGGGGGCAUUUGUAUUUAACAGUCCAGAGGUGAUAUUCUUAGAUUUGUUAAAGACAAACUAAUGCGAAAGCAUUUGCCAAGGCAUGUUUUCAUUAAUCAAGAACGAAAGUUAGGGGAUCGAAGACGAUCAGAUACCGUCGUAGUGCUUAACCAUAAACUAUGCCAACUAGAGAUUGGAGGUUGUUCCUUACUCCU